GACGAACGCUGGCGGCGUGCCUAACACAUGCAAGUCGAACGGUGAAGCGCCUUCCUUUUUGGUGGGUGUGGAUGAGUGGCGAACGGGUGAGUAACACGUGAGUAACCUGCCCCCUUCUUCUGGAUAACCGCAUGAAAGUGUGGCUAAUACGGGAUAUUCUGGGUCUGUCGCAUGAUGGGUCUGGGAAAGUUAUUGUUUCGGUGGGGGAUGGGCUCGCGGCCUAUCAGCUUGUUGGUGGGGUGAUGGCCUACCAAGGCGGUGACGGGUAGCCGGCCUGAGAGGGUGGACGGUCACACUGGGACUGAGACACGGCCCAGACUCCUACGGGAGGCAGCAGUGGGGAAUAUUGCACAAUGGGCGCAAGCCUGAUGCAGCGACGCCGCGUGAGGGAUGGAGGCCUUCGGGUUGUGAACCUCUUUCGCCAGUGAAGCAGGCCUGCCUCGUUUGUGGGUGGGUUGACGGUAGCUGGAUAAGAAGCGCCGGCUAACUACGUG
RNAcentral lists this ribosomal RNA (494 nucleotides) under uncultured bacterium. RNAcentral describes it as "partial 16S ribosomal RNA". It matches the Rfam family "Bacterial small subunit ribosomal RNA", at positions 28 to 507 of the family's 1533-position model. The record is from RNAcentral.